UGCAGCUUUGCAGGGCUCACAUGUUUUGUACGUGAGCACAUCUAGUCUAGACUAUGCUCUGUUACAUUUUCAUCAAGCCAAGGGAAUCAAUGCAAAGAGCUUGGCUUCCUCUGUCUACUGACAGCACAGAUAACCAGACGCCAGUCCUGGUCGUUAACCUAAGCCAGGCCGCCCAGGAGAAGGGAGGCCCUAUCCUGAACGCCAUGGACAGGCAGGUCCCUCCUGUCACGAAUAUUGUUUCACAGGAAGCACCAAUGUGGGCGACCAGCUUCCAACUGGGCAGCUGUCGGUGGUGCCUUGGCGACGGACUGGGGUGAAAUAUACCAACAACGAGGCCUAUUUCGACGUGGUUGAAGAGAUAGACGCCAUCAUUGACAAAUCAG
Molecule: long non-coding RNA, 383 nt
Filed under: Rattus norvegicus (Norway rat)
Lineage: Eukaryota; Metazoa; Chordata; Mammalia; Rodentia; Muridae
Description: long non-coding RNA NONRATT011626
Source: RNAcentral